UUCAAACUUGACCACUCUUUUGUGUUCUUUGUUAGAGGUUUGACUGAGCUUUUGGAGCGAAAUGCAGUGCAACUCACUAUAUGCUACUGCAGAUGUUCCCACAAGAAGUCCCUGAAAGAACCAUUGGUUUUUCUACACUGAAUUAGCAAGCAGACAGACCAUGAUAUAAUCUUAGUCUGCUUGCUGGUAUCCAUUCUACUGUCUUUGGCAGAUAUAGUAAUUUUCAAGGUACCUCCAAUCUUGCAGGUAGUGUGUAUAACAUCUUCUAUAUCAAUAGUGAAUUGGUGUUUGUUGUUUUUAAGAACUUUGUGAUAUGUAGUGUUUUGACAAUUUCUCCUUGGGCAUUCUGUGCAAUAUGCAGGAAAUUGGCAUUAGCUCGGGCGAUGUAUUUAUAUAAAAAAAUUGUGGUCAAGGCUGCAGAUUAUGUUGAGCAGGUACAUGAUGGGAAAUUGUUGGUGAAUGAUGAAAUAGGAUAUUUAGUAGCUGCCUUGUGCGAGAUUUGGCUAAAGGGUGAUGAUACUGUUAGUUCAGGAUCAUCUCUGCUCAGGAAGUAUAAACUUCAGUUGUAAGUAGUAAUCACCUUUUCGUUCUUUUAGUUUUCUGCUUCAUUUCUUAUCAUAUCUAUAUGCUCAAUUUUGAAUGUAUGUGACCUCUUUCUCAAUGUUAUGGCAUUGAUGAUAAAUGUGACAUAUCUAUCAUUGAUGGCCAUUGUUAAUUACCUGCUUGGUUGGUUUGCAUUACGGUCACAUCAUUAACCAUUUUAAGGUCAUCAGAACAAAGUUCUGCACUAGACUAUGUCAUCCACGUCUGUCGUAGUCUAGGCCUCGCCUUGGACUUAUUUGGUAAGGGACUUGUUCAUAAUUUUCUUGUAUAUAGUAGCAACCGUCAAAGUCGCUGUGUUGUGUUUGUUUCUAAACUAUCUACUUCCAUGUUUUCAGAUAUGCAUAUAAACAAGGCUCUCUACAUUCAGUGGAACA
This is a long non-coding RNA of Rosa rugosa (rugosa rose), 977 nucleotides long. RefSeq lists it as uncharacterized. NCBI's taxonomy places the organism in Eukaryota, Viridiplantae, Streptophyta, Magnoliopsida, Rosales, Rosaceae. The record is from RefSeq and is a predicted model, not a curated record. The transcript is spliced from 3 exons.